UCUCUCAUAAUUACUCCUAAAAAAAAGAGAAAAAGAAAGAAAAGGGGAAGCGUGCACGUUUGCCUCAUGGGUCCUCUUUCAUAAUCACCUACCAGAAAACUUCACCUGAGGUCUCUCUCACGGAUUCCCAUUAUUAAAAAGAGAAAAGAAAGAAACAGGAAGAGGAAAUAAAAAAAACACCCCUCUUCUUAAAAAAAUCACAACACCUCUCUUCCUCAUCUUGGUUUUCCAAUCACCAUUGUCUCCGUCCACACCUUCCACACGCCGCCACACAACACCAAAUCGACGCCGCGAGAACCAUCAUCUCUCCGUCAGCACAACACGCACCACCACCGCCUUAACUUCCUUCAAACAACCUUCCGCUUCCGGCACCGUCUCCCACCUUU
RNAcentral lists this long non-coding RNA (386 nucleotides) under Lathyrus oleraceus (garden pea). Its description in RNAcentral is "Pisum sativum (pea) long non-coding RNA (PSAT_LNC033857)". The record is from RNAcentral. Lineage: Eukaryota; Viridiplantae; Streptophyta; Magnoliopsida; Fabales; Fabaceae.